Molecule: non-coding RNA, 69 nt
Organism: Rattus norvegicus (Norway rat)
Lineage: Eukaryota; Metazoa; Chordata; Mammalia; Rodentia; Muridae
Source: Rfam
GGGGAUUUAGCUCACUGGUAGAGCGCUUGCCUAGCAAGCACAAGGCCCUGGGUUCGGUCCCCAGCUCCG